This is a long non-coding RNA of Nerophis ophidion (straightnose pipefish), 482 nucleotides long. RefSeq lists it as uncharacterized. The record is from RefSeq and is a predicted model, not a curated record. Lineage: Eukaryota; Metazoa; Chordata; Actinopteri; Syngnathiformes; Syngnathidae. The transcript is spliced from 3 exons.
CUAUAGUUUGCUACACGCAACAAGUCAACAAGUGACAUCGCUCUUCCCGCAUUGUGGGAGGUCCUCAUUGCACGUCCCACUGGGAGGAGACCCCGCAGCAGGCCAAGGACCAAAUGGGGGGAUUACAUCUCCUCUCUGGCCUGGGAACGCUUCGGGAUCCCCCAGGAGGAAGUUGCCAAUGUUGCUCUGGAGAGGAAAGGUCGGGGGGUCUAUUGUCCCCGCGACUUGAUUUCGGAUAAUCGGUUGAAGAUGGAUGGAUGGAUGGAUGGAAAACUUGUUUGCUUGCAGUUCAGGUCUGGAGAGCCACGGGAGGGGCCAUAUUAGGACCCAAAGUCUCCAAGAAGAUAAGGCGGACGAGCAGAGAGGGGGUGAACUCGACGCCGCUGAAAGCACAUUUCGUUUUAACUGUUUAUGACCCAGUGCUGGGAUGCUGUAUAAUGUGACCCCUCCCUUAGAAACAGCUUCAGCUAUGUAAUGAGGGA